CAGUUCGGAUUGCAGCCUGCAACUCGGCUGCAUGAAGCUGGAAUCGCUAGUAAUCGCGGAUCAGAAUGCCGCGGUGAAUACGUUCCCGGGUCUUGUACACACCGCCCGUCACACCAUGGGAGUAGGUAAUGCCCGAAGUCGGUGACCUAACCGGAAGGAAGGAGCCGCCGAAGGCAGGACUUAUAACUGGGGUGAAGUCGUAACAAGGUACC
This 212-nucleotide ribosomal RNA is filed under the name uncultured bacterium. Its description in RNAcentral is "partial 16S ribosomal RNA". It matches the Rfam family "Bacterial small subunit ribosomal RNA", at positions 1289 to 1500 of the family's 1533-position model. The record is from RNAcentral.